GCCUGGAGUACUAACACAUACAAGUCGAGCGAAACUUAGGGUUUAGCUGGGUGAGUAACGCGUUGGAACGUGCCCUUCUCUGCGGAAUAGCCACUGGAAACGGUGAGUAAUACCGCAUACGCCCUUCGGGGGACAGAUUUAUCGGGGAACGAUCGGCCCGCGUCUGAUUAGGUAGAUGGUGGGGUAAUGGCCUACCAAGCCUACGAUCAGUAAGCUGGAUUUUGAGGAUGAUCAGCCACACUGUGAACUGAAGACCCGGCCCAAACUUCCAUCGGGAAGGCAGCCGAGGGGAAAUAUCUUAAACAAGGUGCCCACAGC
This 318-nucleotide ribosomal RNA is filed under the name uncultured bacterium. RNAcentral's name for it is "bacterial SSU rRNA". The stretch from base 11 to 289 matches the Rfam family "Bacterial small subunit ribosomal RNA", at positions 48 to 357 of the family's 1533-position model. The record is from RNAcentral.